RNAcentral lists this transfer RNA (73 nucleotides) under Dipodomys ordii (Ord's kangaroo rat). It matches the Rfam family "tRNA". From Rfam's summary of the family: Transfer RNA (tRNA) molecules are approximately 80 nucleotides in length. Their secondary structure includes four short double-helical elements and three loops (D, anti-codon, and T loops). Further hydrogen bonds mediate the characteristic L-shaped molecular structure. tRNAs have two regions of fundamental functional importance: the anti-codon, which is responsible for specific mRNA codon recognition, and the 3' end, to which the tRNAs corresponding amino acid is attached (by aminoacyl-tRNA synthetases). tRNAs cope with the degeneracy of the genetic code in two manners: having more than one tRNA (with a specific anti-codon) for a particular amino acid; and 'wobble' base-pairing, i.e. permitting non-standard base-pairing at the 3rd anti-codon position. The record is from Rfam by way of RNAcentral. Lineage: Eukaryota; Metazoa; Chordata; Mammalia; Rodentia; Heteromyidae.
GAAAGUAUGGCUCAAGUGGUGGAGUGCUUGUCUAGUAAGCAUAAAGCUUUGAGUUCAAGUCUCAAUCUUCUUU